This is a long non-coding RNA of Homo sapiens (human), 4532 nucleotides long. The record is from Ensembl. Lineage: Eukaryota; Metazoa; Chordata; Mammalia; Primates; Hominidae.
CACAUUACAGGCAAAAUUAAUCCCUCUUCUCUGUAUUCUCAUCAUUCAUUGAAAUUUUUCUUGCUUCACUUUUUUGGAAGUUCUUUAUAAGUAGUUUUUGCAUUAUAAUUAAUGGUUACAAAAUAUUUUUUCUAUUGUAAGACCUUGAUUUUGUCUUAGUCACUGAAAUGGUUUGGCUCUGUGUCCCCAGCCAAAUCUCAUCUUAAAUUGUACUCCCAUAGUUCCCAUGUGUUGUGGGAGGGACCCAGUGGGAGAUAAUCUGAAUCAUGGGGGUGGUGUCCCCCAUACUGUUCUCGUGGUAGUGAAUAAGUCUCAUGAGAUCUUAUGGUUUUAUCAGGGGUUUCCGCUUUUGCAUCUUUCUCAUUUUCUCUUGCUGCCACGAUGUGCCUUUCACCUCCCAAUAUGAUUCUGAGUCCUCCCCAGCCAUGUGAAAACAUAAGUCCAAUUAAACUUUUUAUACCCAGUCUCAGGUAUGUAUUUAUCAGCAGUGUGAAAACAGACUAAUACAGUAAAUUGGUACCAGUAGAGUAGGGUGCUGCUGAAAAGAAACCUGAAAAUAUAGAAGUGACUUUGGAACUGGGUAACAGGCAGAGGUUGGAACCAUUUGGAGGACUCAGAAGACAGGAAAACAUGGGAAAGUUUGGAACUUCCUAGAGACUUCAGUGGCUUUGAUCAAAAGCCUGAUAGUUAUAUAGACUAUAAGAUCUAGGCUGAAGUAAUCUCAGAUGAAGAUGAGGAACUUGUUGGGAACUGGACCAAAGGUGACUCUUGUUAUGUUUUAAAAAAAAGGCUGGUGGGAUUUUUCUCCUGCUCUAGAGAUUUAUGGAACUUUGAUCUUGAGAGAGAUGAUUUAGGGUAUCGGGUGGAAGAAAUUUCUAAGGAGCAAAGCAUUCAAGAGGUGACUUGGGUGCAGUUAAAGGCAUUCAGUUUUAUAAGAAAAGCAGAGCAUAAAAGUUCAGAAAAUUUGCAGCCUGACAAUGUGACAGAAAAGAAAAACCCAUCUUCUAAGUAGAUAUUCAAGCCAGCUGCAGAAAUGUGCAUAAGUAACAAGGAGCCAAAUGGUAAUCCCCAAGACAAUGGGGAAAAUGUCUCUAGGGCAUGUCAGAGGUCUUCACAGCAGCCCCUCCCAUCACAGGCCUGUGGGGGCCUAGGAGAAAAUGAUUUCAUGAGCCAGGCCCAGGGUCUCUGUGCUAUGCUGUGUGCAGCCUAAGGACUUGAUGCCCUGCCCCACAGCUGCUCCAGCUGUGGCUGAAAGGGGCCAACAUAGAGCUCAGGCCAUGGCUUCAGAGGAUGCAAGUGCCAAGCUUUGGCAGCUUCCACAUGGUGUUGAGCCUACAAAGGCACAGAAGUCAAGAACUGGGGUCUGGAAACCUCUGCCUAGAUUUCAAAAGAUGUUUGAAAAUGCCUGGAUGCCCAGGCAGAAGUUUGCUUCAGGGGCAGGGCCCUGAUGGAGAACCUCUGCUAGGGCAGUGCAGAAGGGAAAUGUGGAGUCAGAGUCCCCACACAGCAUCCCUACUGGGACACCCCCUAGUAGAGCUGUGAGAAGAGAGCUACCAUCCUCCAGCACCCAGAAAGGUAGGUCCGCUGGCAGCUUGCAUAGUGCACCUGGAAAAGACGCAGACACUCAAUGCCAGCCUGUGAAAGCAGCUGGGAGGGAAGCUGUACCCUGCAAAGCCAUGGGGGCUUCCCAAGACCAUGGGAACCCACCUCUUGCAUCAGUAUGACCUGGAUGUGAGACUUGGAGUUAAAGGAGAUCAUUUUGGAGCUUUAAAAUUUGACUGCUCCACUGGGUUUUAGAUUUGCAUGUGCCCUGUAACCCCAUUGUUUUGGCCAAAUUCUCCCAUUUGGAAGGGCUAUAUUUACCAAAUACCUGUACCCCCAUUGUCUCUAGGAAGUAGCUAGCUUUUGAUUUUACAGGCUCAUAGGUGGAAGGGACUUGCCUUGUCCCAGAUGAGACUUUGAACUGUGGACUUUUGGGUUAAUGGUGAAAUAAGACUUUGGGGGACUGUUGGGAAAGCAUGAUUGGUUUCGAAAUGUGAGAACAUGAGAUUUGGAGGUGCCAGGGGAAGAAUAAUACGGUUUGGCCUGUGUCCCCACCCAAAUCUCAUCUUGAAUUGUACUCCCAUAAUUCUGUAUUGUGGGAGGGACCUGGUGGAAGAUCUUUUGAAUCAUGGGAGCAGUUUUGCCCAUAUUGUUUUCAUGGUAGUGAAUAAGUGUCACGAGAUCUGAUGGUUUUAUCAGGGGUUUCUGCUUUUGCAUCUUCCCCAUUUUCUCUUGCUCCCACCAUGUAAGAAGUGCCUUUUGCUUCCCACCAUGAUUCUGAGGCCUCCCCAGCCAUGUGGAACUGUAAGUCCAAUUACACUUCUUUUUCUACCCAGUCCAGGUAUAUCUUUGUCAGCAGCAUGAAAAUGGACUAAUACAGUCACAAACACAUAGAACUUAGCAAUUGAUGAAACUUACACAUACAGGUAGGUGUCCAUUUUUCUUUUAAAUUAAUUAAGAUGUAAAACUUAAAAAGAAAACCAAGCCGAUAGAAAAAUUAUAAGUCUCAAUGUUGAAGGAAAGAAGUCAGAUAAAAGAGGGUAAAACAAAUCUUAAAGAAACAGGGAAAUGAUGCAGUGGAGGAGAGGAAAGUUGAGUAAACUCACCAAAAAUACCAUCAUUCUUCUUAGCAAAGGAAGGAGAGUAGCUGGCAUGACACAGAAUAACUGAGAUUUAAAGAGCAAGAGACUAACCAGUUAGAACAGUGAUAAAAGCAUAUUAUGAAGUAAAAAAGGGAGAAACAAUAGAUGGUGGUAGAGGACUUAGGGUUAUGUCAUAACUAGCUCAAAAUAUGAAUAUUAUUUUAUAAUUCUGCCUUUUGUAAUAAUCCAUUUUGACAGUCCAGCCACUAUUGUUAGAGAAAGAUUAUCAGAAUAUUGCAAUGAAGAAUUCAAUGUCUUAAACUACUACCAAUAGAACCAAAGCUCUCCAUCGAAUUUCUUGACAGAGUUAUGAGAACCAAGUAAAAUAUAUCUGCAGACUUAAUCCCGCUCACAGGCAACUGGUGUGUCACCUUUACUUUGGAGCCAUUCAAUAUAUAUAAAAAUUAUAAAGAAGGACUUUGUUCCCUCCCCAUCAUCUCCUCCAAUGAACAUCAUUGCAAAUCCAGAAAUGGAGCCAGUGAAGGCUGGGAAAUCUCACUAUUCUUCGAAGUUUAUUAAGCAUAUUCAUUUGUUUAUGUCAUAGUGAUAUACUCAUUAUUCUAAAACUAAUGUGAUUAGCCCUCAACAAUUAUGUGUCAAUAGAAGUGAUACCAAAAUUAAAAAUUGAUGAGUUAAAAAAAAAACAAGAAUGCAGUUGAUUUGUCUGAUUUUCAUAGGACCUCUGACCAAUGAAGGUUGAAAACAAUGGGUAUGCAUGAUAAAGAAAAGAAGCUUUAAUAACCAGAAUAGAUUCACUGAGAAUAAUUCAAGUUAAGUAAACUUAUUUUCUUAUUUUAUAGGUUUCUAGACUGAUAAACUAGAGAAAUGAACUAUUUUUCCCAGGUCUCUGGUUCAUUCCUACUUGUUUGGUAUGGGAUAAUAGUGAAAUGGUGAAGACUAAAGGAAAACAAGUUUAGGAGAAAGAAUACAUUAAAUUCAUGGUAUCUUGAGAUAUACCUGUAGUGAUGUGAGGUAGAGAGUUGAAUACAAAAAUGUGAAGAUUAAAAGUAUUGGUUGGAGAAAUAUAUUUUGAAAAGGAUGGAGAGGCAGGAGAAACAAAGUAAAUGGAGAGGUAGAAAACAAUUGGAUCACGAGGUCUCUUAGAAUUUGGAAAAGAAAUGUUUCAAGAUCAUGGUAGUAAACUGCAUUGUUGAGUUCUGCUAGGGAAUUUAGUAAGGUCAGGAAAGAAACGUUUCCAUUAAGUUUGGAAACACGGUAUUUCUCUAAUGACUUAUUAUUAUGUCUUCAAUGUAAUUUUUCUCUUAUUUGUAACUUCAGUUUCUCAGUUGUUACCUGAAAUAAGUACAGAUGAAGUUUGUCAAAAGUAAUGUACAUCUCUUUUUCUUAUAGAAUAUCACUCGUUUGCCUGAGGAAAAUUCACAUCUUAAUUACUUUGAGGAAAUCUCCAAGUGCACUGACAUUAUCAAUAGCACGUCAGAAUAGGAUCUAUUUUAAGGCACUGAGAAAGAAAAUACAUCAAUUUGAAAAACUGAAGCAAGAACAUCAAAUUUAUAGUGAAGCUUGGGUGAAAGAAAUGGUGAAAUUGUCGAUCCUUUAUGAAAAGCUUAUGAGAACAAUGCCCCACAUAAAUCAGCAGUUUACAAAAGGAUAACACAUUUUAAGAAGGGACAGUAAUUUGGAAGAUGAAGCCUGCAGCAGCAGACCAUCCCAAUUUUCCAGGAAAAAAAAAAUUAACCUUUUUCAUGCCAUCAUUGAAGAGGACUGAUUAUUAACAGCAGAAACAAGAGCCAGCACUACAAAUAUCUUGAUUGGUUCAGCUUAUGCAACUCUAAAAAAUUAAAUUUGAGCAAACUUUCUACUCAAUAAAUGCCAAAACUGCUGUGCCCA